RNAcentral lists this ribosomal RNA (422 nucleotides) under uncultured bacterium. Its description in RNAcentral is "partial 16S ribosomal RNA". It matches the Rfam family "Bacterial small subunit ribosomal RNA", at positions 360 to 774 of the family's 1533-position model. The record is from RNAcentral.
AAUUUUGGACAAUGGGGGAAACCCUGAUCCAGCCAUCCUGCGUGUAUGAUGAAGGCCUUCGGGUUGUAAAGUACUUUUGGCAGAGAAGAAAAGUUAUCUCCUAAUACGACAUACUGCUGACGUUAUCUGCAGAAUAAGCACCGGCUAACUACGUGCCAGCAGCCGCGGUAAUACGUAGGGUGCAAGCGUUAAUCGGCAUUACUGGGCGUAAAAGGGGUGGUGGGGGGUCGGAAAAGAAGAUGGGGAAACCCAGGGGUCAAACUUGGGAAUGGAUUUUUAAAUGGCGAGCUAGGGGAUGUCGGAGGGGAGGAGAAUUCCACGUGGAGCAGUGGAAAGCGUAGAUAUGUGGAGGAAUACCGAUGGCGAAAGCAGCCCCCUGGGAUAAUACUGACGCUCAGACACGAAAGCGUGGGGAGCAAACA